GAAACUUCUUCCUCAGGUUAGCGAUCUGGUGCUAGUGUACAGUAUGGAUCAGCAGCUCUUUUCUUCUCUCUGAGACAUCAGGUGCCUCCUGAUAUUACAGCAGAGCAGGUCCUUGGUCCUAAGGAUGAUGAAGCUGUUGGUGAGGAAGGAGAGGGGGAAAGGGCAUAUCUUCACCCUCAGCUGCCAGCAGGUGAUGGACUAGGAACCCGAGCCCAGGACCACCCCCUUCUCCUAUCCCAUCAGCCAGGUCUUCCGCUCAUAUUUAUACUCCACUUGCAUCAUUGUCAGAAUUCAGGCACCGGCCACACUGAGAGGCACAGAGAUAAAUGUGGUUACACUACACAGAAGGAAGGUGGAGGAAUUGUGCCAUACCAAAAAGCCAGGUCCUGGAAUGAAGAUCCAUAAAUAUUUUGUUGUAUUUUAGUGACAAUCUAACCAAAAUAAAUUCAUUCAUUUCAGCUUGACUUU
This 468-nucleotide long non-coding RNA is filed under the name Chinchilla lanigera (long-tailed chinchilla). Its description in RNAcentral is "lncRNA (ENSCLAG00000027933.1)". The record is from RNAcentral. Lineage: Eukaryota; Metazoa; Chordata; Mammalia; Rodentia; Chinchillidae.